RNAcentral lists this ribosomal RNA (900 nucleotides) under uncultured archaeon. RNAcentral's name for it is "bacterial SSU rRNA". It matches the Rfam family "Archaeal small subunit ribosomal RNA", at positions 1 to 878 of the family's 1478-position model. The record is from RNAcentral.
CUCCGGUUUGAUCCUGCCGGACCCGACUGCUAUCGGAUUGAGAUUUAGCCAUGCGAGUCGAACGUUCCCCUGUUGCGGGGAGCGUGGCGUACGGCUCAGUAACACGUAGUCAACCUGCCCUGGAGACAAGGACAACCCCGGGAAACUGGGAUUAAUCCUUGAUAGGUCAUCUCAUCUGGAAGGAGAGAUGGCUUAAAGGGGUACGCGGGCUUCUUCCGCGAAUUCGCUCCAGGAUGGGACUGCGUCCGAUCAGGCUGUUGGCGGGGUAAUGGCCCACCAAACCUGUAACCGGUACGGGCCUUGAGAGAGGUGGCCCGGAGAUGGACACUGAGAGAAGGGUCCAGGUCCUACGGGGCGCAGCAGGCGCGAAACCUUCGCAAUGCGCGAAAGCGUGACGAGGUUAAUCCGAGUGACUCCCGCUGAGGGGGUCUUUUGUCAGCUGUAAAUAGGCAGGCGAAUAAGGGGAGGGCAAGCCUGGUGUCAGCCGCCGCGGUAAUACCAGCUCCUCGAGUGGUCGGGGCGAUUAUUGGGCCUAAAGCAUCCGUAGCCGGUUCCGUAGGUCCUCUGUUAAAUCCAACCGCUCAACGGUUGACCUGCAGAGGAUACCGCGGGACUAGGAGGCGGGAGAGGCGGACGGUACUCCGCGUGUAGGGGUAAAAUCCUUUGAUCCGCGGAAGACCACCAGUGGCGAAGGCGGUCCGCCAGAACGCGCUCGACGGUGAGGGAUGAAAGCUGGGGGAGCGAACCGGAUUAGAUACCCGGGUAGUCCCAGCUGUAAACGAUGCAGACUCGGUGAUGGGUUGGCUUUGAGCCAACCCAGUGCCGCAGGGAAGCCGUUAAGUCUGCCGCCUGGGGAGUACGGUCGCAAGACUGAAACUUAAAGGAAUUGGCGGGGGAGCA